GACGAACGCUGGCGGCGUGCUUAACACAUGCAAGUCGAGCGAGGCCCCUCCUUCGGGAGGGUGUCCUAGCGGCGAACGGGUGAGUAACACGCGGGCAACCUGCCCUCAGCUCUGGGAUAACUCCGGGAAACCGGGGCUAAUACCGGAUACGACCUCCACGGGCCCCUGCGGAGGUGGAAAGUUUUUCGGCUGGGGAUGGGCUCGCGGCCUAUCAGCUAGUUGGUAGGGUAGUGGCUCACCAAGGCGACGACGGGUAGCCGGCCUGAGAGGGCGACCGGCCACACUGGGACUGAGACACGGCCCAGACUCCUACGGGAGGCAGCAGUGGGGAAUAUUGCGCAAUGGGCGAAAGCCUGACGCAGCGACGCCGCGUGAGGGACGAAGGCCUUCGGGUUGUAAACCUCUUUCAGCAGGGACGAAGCGAAAGUGACGGUACCUGCAGAAGAAGCACCGGCCAACUACGUG
Molecule: ribosomal RNA, 465 nt
Filed under: uncultured bacterium
Lineage: Bacteria
Description: partial 16S ribosomal RNA
Rfam family: Bacterial small subunit ribosomal RNA
Source: RNAcentral